Molecule: long non-coding RNA, 1173 nt
Filed under: Capra hircus (goat)
Lineage: Eukaryota; Metazoa; Chordata; Mammalia; Artiodactyla; Bovidae
Description: lncRNA (ENSCHIG00000006802.1)
Source: RNAcentral
UUUGACAGCAACGUCCUGCAUUUUCUCUGUCAGCAUGGUGUGAAGCAAUGCAAUUAAAAUCUGUGAUUUGUUUUGACUGGUGUGGAAACUGCUAUAAAAGAGUCUUAGGACCUUGGACAGCUGUACCAAGUAGACAGGAGCUAGCUUGGCUGCAGGUCUUCAUGGACAUUCAGGAGCUGACUCUGGAGAAUUCCCUCUUUUGGGUGUCAUUAUCAAUAGUGGACCCUCCCGAGAAAGGUGAUCAUUUAAAAGUCUACAAAUAACAGACGCUGGACAGGGUGUAGAGAAAAGGGAAACCCUCUACACUGUUGUUGGGAAUGUAAAUUGGUACAGCCAAUAUGGAGAACAAUACGGAGAUUCCUUGAAAAACGAAAAAUGGAACUACUAUAUGAUUCAGCAAUCUCACCCCUGAGCAUGUAUUUGGAGAAAACUAUAAUUUGAAAAGAUAGCUGCACCCCAGUGUUCAUAGCAAUACUAUUUACAAUAGCCAAGACAUGGAAGCAACCUGAUUGUGCAUCAAGGGAGGAGUGGAUAAAGAAGAUGUAGUGUACGUAUAUGAUGGAAUAUUACUCAACCAUGGAAAAGAAUAAAAUAAUGCCAAUUGCAGUGACAUGGAUGGACCUAGAGGUUGUCAUACUGAGUGAACUGGGUCAGACAGAGACAAAUGCCACAUGAUAUCACUUAUAUGUGGGAUCUAAAAUAUGACACAAAUGAACUUAUCUGUGAAACAGACAUAAAGAACAGACUUGUGGUCCCAAGAGGAAGGGGAUAGGGGAAGGAUGGAUUGGGAGUUUGAGAUAAGCAGAUGCAAACUAGUAUAUACAGAAUAGAUAGACAACAAGGUACUACUGUAUAGCACAGGGACCUAUGUUCAAUAUCCUGUGAUAGCCUAUAAUGGAAGAGAAUAUGAGAAUGUAUGUAUGUAUAACUGAGUCACUUUGCUGUACAGCAGAAAUUAACACAAUGUUUAAAUUAACUAUACUUCAAUAAAAUAUUUUUGAAAAAAUAGUGUAUCCUCUCAUUUUCAGAAGUUUCAUGGUGUGGAAGGUAAAUCAUGGUUACCUUGCUGAAGGCCGCUCUCUAGACAGGACAGCAUGACAUUGUGGCUGAUGUCACAAUGUGACUCCCUGAGUUAGAAAUCAAGCUCUGCCACUCAGUGGUCACAGAACCCUG